GAUGAACGCUAGCGGCAGGCCUAAUACAUGCAAGCUGAACGGUAAAUGUUCCAGCAAUGGAAUAUGAGAGUAGCGUAAGGGUGCGUAACACGUAUGCAAUCUGCCCUGUACAGGAGGAUAGCUCGGCGAAAGCCGGAUUAAUACUCCGUAACAUUAUUGAGUGGCAUCACUUGGUAAUUAAAGUCGCAAGACGGUAUGGGAUGAGCAUGCGUCUGAUUAGCUAGUUGGUAGUGUAACGGACUACCAAGGCGAUGAUCAGUAGGGGAACUGAGAGGUUGAUCCCCCACACUGGCACUGAGAUACGGGCCAGACUCCUACGGGAGGCAGCGGUAGGGAAUAUUGGUCAAUGGAUGCAAGUCUGAACCAGCCAUGCCGCGUGCAGGAAGAAGGCCUUCUGGGUUGUAAACUGCUUUUGCCGGGGGAUAAAAUUCCCAUGCGUGGGGACAUUGAAGGUACCCGGUGAAUAAGCCACGGCUAACUACGUCG
Molecule: ribosomal RNA, 486 nt
Filed under: uncultured bacterium
Lineage: Bacteria
Description: bacterial SSU rRNA
Rfam family: Bacterial small subunit ribosomal RNA
Source: RNAcentral